AUUGAACGCUGGCGGCAUGCCUUACACAUGCAAGUCGAACGGCAGCACGGGUGCUUGCACCUGGUGGCGAGUGGCGAACGGGUGAGUAAUACAUCGGAACAUGUCCUGUAGUGGGGGAUAGCCCGGCGAAAGCCGGAUUAAUACCGCAUACGAUCCACGGAUGAAAGCGGGGGACCUUCGGGCCUCGCGCUAUAGGGUUGGCCGAUGGCUGAUUAGCUAGUUGGUGGGGUAAAGGCCUACCAAGGCGACGAUCAGUAGCUGGUCUGAGAGGACGACCAGCCACACUGGGACUGAGACCCGGCCCAGACUCCUACGGGAGGCAGCAGUGGGGAAUUUUGGACAAUGGGCGAAAGCCUGAUCCAGCAAUGCCGCGUGUGUGAAGAAGGCCUUCGGGUUGUAAAGCACUUUUGUCCGGAAAGAAAUCCUUGACUCUAAUACAGUCGGGGGAUGACGGUACCGGAAGAAUAAGCACCGGCUAACUACGUG
Molecule: ribosomal RNA, 486 nt
Filed under: uncultured bacterium
Lineage: Bacteria
Description: partial 16S ribosomal RNA
Rfam family: Bacterial small subunit ribosomal RNA
Source: RNAcentral